GGUCAGGAGAUCAAGACCAUCCUGGCUAACACGGGUCUGAACGUAUGAUGCCAGUGACUGGAAGGAAACACUUAAGGGAUUCAGAGGUGACCUGGAUGUGCUUAGAGUUCUGCUGGUAACCAGGGCCUAAGGAUCUCUUCUUUCUUCGCAGUCCUGAGGUGCUGAAUGAAGGCCAGGAAGUUUCUGACAGCCUCAGCCUUGGAAAGGUUGUCAGGCUGCAGGUAUUUCCUGGUGGACCGCCAGAGCUCCGAGAGCUGCAAGCAAAUUAUGGUAUUACAUCUUGAUGAUUUCACUUUUCUGAACACCAGUAAUACUGAAGGAAAGAGCAUCUCCCUAUAGUUACACACAGAGCAUGAAGCCAAUGGUUUGCUCUUCUGACAAGAGAUUACAGAUAAGGAAAUGCUGGGUGAAGGACAUCCUUUACAGUGGCUCUGGAAGACCUGCCCCACAAUGGGAAUGGCCGUGUACUUUGAAUCAACUGCUUUGAUUAU
RNAcentral lists this long non-coding RNA (491 nucleotides) under Homo sapiens (human). RNAcentral's name for it is "long non-coding RNA NONHSAT200226.1". Lineage: Eukaryota; Metazoa; Chordata; Mammalia; Primates; Hominidae. The record is from RNAcentral.